This 914-nucleotide ribosomal RNA is filed under the name uncultured archaeon. RNAcentral's name for it is "bacterial SSU rRNA". It matches the Rfam family "Archaeal small subunit ribosomal RNA", at positions 1 to 922 of the family's 1478-position model. The record is from RNAcentral.
UUCCGGUUGAUCCUGCCGGACCCCACUGCUAUCGGGAUAGGACUAAGACAUGCUAGUCGUCCCAGCCACGAGGAGCGUACAGCUCAGUAACACGUGGCUAACCUGCCCUCGGGACGGGAAUACCCCCGGGAAACUGGGGCUAAUCCCCGAUAGGUGAAGAACUCUGGAAUGAGUCUCCGCCCAAAAGACUUAACGCCCAAGGAUGGGGCCGCGACCGAUCAGGUAGUUGGUGAGGCAACGGCUCACCAAGCCUUUAACCGGUGCGGGCCGUGGGAGCGGGAGCCCGGAGAUGGGCACUGAGACAAGGGCCCAGGCCCUACGGGGCGCAGCAGGCGCGAAACCUCUGCAAUACGCGAAAGCCUGACAGGGUUAUUCUGAGUGACUUUCGCUAAGAAAGUCUUUUGACACCUCUAAAAAUGGUGUAGAAUAAGGGGUGGGCAAGUUCUGGUGUCAGCCGCCGCGGUAAUACCAGCACCCCGAGUGGUGUGGAUGUUUAUUGGGCCUAAAGCAUCCGUAGCUGGCUGGACAAGUCCCCUGUUAAAUCCACCGAUUUAAUCGUUGGUGUGCGGGGGAUACUGUUUGGCUAGGGGACGGGAGAGGCCGACGGUAUUUUCGGGGUAGGGGUGAAAUCCUAUAAUCCCGGGAAGACCACCAGUGGCGUAGGCGGUCGGCUAGCACGCGCUCGACGGUGAGGGACGAAAGCUGGGGGAGCGAACCGGAUUAGAUACCCGGGUAGUCCCAGCUGUAAACGAUGCAGGCUAGGUGUUUGGACGGCUACGUGCCGUUCUAGUGCCGCAAGGAAGCUGUUAAGCCUGCCGCCUGGGGAGUACGAUCGCAAGAUUGAAACUUAAAGGAAUUGGCGGGGGAGCACUACAAGGGGUGAAGCUUGCGGUUUAAUUGGAGUGAACGCCGGA